Molecule: ribosomal RNA, 455 nt
Filed under: uncultured organism
Description: bacterial SSU rRNA
Rfam family: Bacterial small subunit ribosomal RNA
Source: RNAcentral
GCGCACCAGGCGAGAAUUUUUCUCAAUGGGGGCAACCCUGAAGGAGCGACGCCGCGUGGAGGAUGAAGGCUUUCGGGUCGUAAACUCCUGUCAUUUGAGAACAAGUGCCGACACCUAACUACUGUUGGCUUGAUAGUAUCAGAAGAGGAAGGGACGGCUAACUCUGUGCCGGCAGCCGCGGUAAUACAGAGGUCCCAAGCGUUGUUCGGAUUCAUUGGGCGUAAAGGGUGCGUAGGUGGCGCCGUAAGUGGGGUGUGAAAUUCCGGAGCUUAACUCCGAAACUGCAUUCCAUACUGCGGUGCUUGAGGACUGGAGAGGAGACUGGAAUUUACGGUGUAGCAGUGAAAUGCGUAGAGAUCGUAAGGAAGACCAGUGGCGAAGGCGGGUCUCUGGACAGUUCCUGACAUUGAGGCACGAAGGCCAGGGGAGCGAACGGGAUUAGAUACCCCGGUAGU